AUACGGAGGGUGCAAGCGUUACUCGGAAUCACUGGGCGUAAAGGACGCGUAGGCGGGUUGGAAAGUCUGAUGUGAAAUCCUACAGCUUAACUGUAGAACUGCAUUGGAAACUUCCAACCUAGAGUAUGGGAGGGGGAGAUGGAAUUAGUGGUGUAGGGGCAAAAUCCGUAGAUAUCACUAGGAAUACCUAAAGCGAAGGCGAUCUCCUGGAACAUAACUGACGCUAAGGCGUGAAAGCGUGGGGAGCAAACGGGAUUAGAAACCCCAGUAGUCC
This 274-nucleotide ribosomal RNA is filed under the name uncultured bacterium. RNAcentral describes it as "partial 16S ribosomal RNA". It matches the Rfam family "Bacterial small subunit ribosomal RNA", at positions 523 to 796 of the family's 1533-position model. The record is from RNAcentral.